This is a small nucleolar RNA of Parambassis ranga (Indian glassy fish), 322 nucleotides long. NCBI's taxonomy places the organism in Eukaryota, Metazoa, Chordata, Actinopteri, Ambassidae. The record is from Ensembl.
GUCCGCUGAUGAAACAAUGGCAAGUUUUAUGAUCCAGUCAGACUAAAGAUUGUGGUCUCUAGACUGCUGUAAGGUGGGUAAUCUUGGUAGUGUUGUGGAGUUUUGCUGCACUUCUGUAAGGGCUCACCAAGAGUUAAAAAGACACCUUCUGCAACCUAUGCCUCCCUCCCCAAGACAAAUGGGAUGGGUUUGGUAGCAGAUGUCAAACACUGUCUGAAUGUGUGUUUGUAUCUGUGUGAAUGUAUAUGUUUCAGCAGGCAAGACGCUAUCUGUGUAGUUUGUCUGGCAGGUAUGAAUUACUGUCUUUGGUAAUCUGAGGGCA